UACGUAGGGUGCAAGCGUUAAUCGGAAUUACUGGGCGUAAAGCGUGCGCAGGCGGUUUUGUAAGUCUGACGUGAAAUCCCCGGGCUCAACCUGGGAAUUGCGUUGGAGACUGCAAGGCUUGAGUGCGGCAGAGGAGACUGGAAUUCCUGGUGUAGCAGUGAAAUGCGUAGAUAUCAGGAGGAAUACCGAUGGCGAAGGCAGGUCUCUGGGCUGACACUGACGCUCAUGCACGAAAGCGUGGGGAGCAAACAGG
Molecule: ribosomal RNA, 253 nt
Filed under: uncultured bacterium
Lineage: Bacteria
Description: partial 16S ribosomal RNA
Rfam family: Bacterial small subunit ribosomal RNA
Source: RNAcentral